This 394-nucleotide ribosomal RNA is filed under the name uncultured Desulfovibrio sp. RNAcentral describes it as "bacterial SSU rRNA". It matches the Rfam family "Bacterial small subunit ribosomal RNA", at positions 355 to 741 of the family's 1533-position model. Lineage: Bacteria; Pseudomonadati; Thermodesulfobacteriota; Desulfovibrionia; Desulfovibrionales; Desulfovibrionaceae. The record is from RNAcentral.
UGGGGAAUAUUGGGCAAUGGGCGAAAGCCUGACGCAGCGACGCCGCGUGAGGGAUGAAGGUUUUCGGAUCGUAAACCUCUGUCAGAAGGGAAGAAAGUGCGUGGUGCUAAUCAGCCACGUAUUGACGGUACCUUCAAAGGAAGCACCGGCUAACUCCGUGCCAGCAGCCGCGGUAAUACGGAGGGUGCAAGCGUUAAUCGGAAUUACUGGGCGUAAAGCGCACGUAGGCUGUUGUGUAAGUCAGGGGUGAAAUCCCACGGCUCAACCGUGGAACUGCCCUUGAUACUGCAUGACUUGAAUCCGGGAGAGGGUGGCGGAAUUCCAGGUGUAGGAGUGAAAUCCGUAGAUAUCUGGAGGAACAUCAGUGGCGAAGGCGGCCACCUGGACCGGUAUU